This is a non-coding RNA of Chiloscyllium plagiosum (whitespotted bambooshark), 710 nucleotides long. NCBI's taxonomy places the organism in Eukaryota, Metazoa, Chordata, Chondrichthyes, Orectolobiformes, Hemiscylliidae. The record is from RefSeq and is a predicted model, not a curated record.
GAAGAAAUGGCAAUAUAUUUCCACAUCAAGAUGUUAGGAUUAUAAAAAUGUAAUGCAGAUGGAGAUAUAUGAAUAUAUAAAAGAAAAUUUACAUUUCGGUGAAGGUAGAUCAAAAGAAGUGCAUUGGUCUCAUAGUUUAACGUCAGGACUCUUUGGAAGCCCUAACUCAUGCGUAUGCACAGACCAGAUUGAGAAGCUGCGACGAUCAAGAAGGCACAACAAUGUUUCUUCUUCCUUAGGCGGCUCAGGAAAUUUGGCAUGUCCAUGAGCACCCUCAUCAACUUUUACGGACUGGUAUGGCAACUGCUUUGCCCAAGACUGUACGAAACUACAGAAGGUUGUGUGCACAGCCCAGACCAUCACAAAGACCAACCUUUGAUCCACAGCUCGUUGCCGCGGAAAAGUUGUCAACAUCAUCAAAGACCCAUCGGAUCCUGGUAAUUCUCUCCUACAACCUAUUCUUUCAGGCAGAAGAUACAGAAGCUUGAACACAUGCACCAGCAGGUGUAGGAACAACUUCUUCCCAUCCAUCAUUAGACUGAUGAAUGGACUCUCCAACUCCAAAUUAUGCUGAUCUUGCCUCGUGUAUGCCCUGUGUGAUGUAACAUGUUUACCUCUGUUAACUUUUUUAUCAUCAUAUGAUCUGUAUGUCUUUUUUUGUAUGAUCUGCCUGUAUUAUUGUUAUGAACAAAGAACAAAGAAAAUUACAG